CCGCCACUAGCUCAGCUGGAUAGAGCCGAUAACCAUUGCCGUUGUAGGCGCGGGGUUCGAGACCUCGGUGGCGGGCCA
RNAcentral lists this transfer RNA (78 nucleotides) under Yersinia enterocolitica. RNAcentral describes it as "tRNA-Gln(ttg)". The record is from RNAcentral. Lineage: Bacteria; Pseudomonadati; Pseudomonadota; Gammaproteobacteria; Enterobacterales; Yersiniaceae.